Molecule: ribosomal RNA, 1681 nt
Filed under: Benthomisophria cornuta
Lineage: Eukaryota; Metazoa; Arthropoda; Copepoda; Misophrioida; Misophriidae
Description: SSU rRNA
Rfam family: Eukaryotic small subunit ribosomal RNA
Source: RNAcentral
GCAUGUCUAAGUACAAGCCUCACUAAGGUGAAACCGCGAAUAGCUCAUUAAAUCACAUCUAAUAUACAGGAUAGUAUCAGUUACUUGGACAACUGCGGUAAUUCUGGAGCUAAUACAUGCGUACAAGUCCAAACUACGUGAGGACUGCUUUUAUUAGAUCAAAACCAAACAGCUUCGGCUGUCAACUUGGUGAUUCUGAAUAACUUUGAGCUGAUCGCACGGCUUCACGCCGGCGACGUAUCCUUCGACGGUGUGCCCUAUCAACUGUCGACUGUGGCAUAGACGCCCACAGUGGUUUUGACGGGUAACGGGGAAUUAGGGUUCGAUUCCGGAGAGGGAGCCUGAGAAACGGCUACCACUUCUAAGGAAGGCAGCAGGCACGCAAAUUACCCACUGGUCGAAGACCGAGGUAGUGACGAUAAAUAACGAUACGGGACUCAUCCGAGGCCCCGUAAUCGGAAUGAGUACACUUUAAAGCCUUUAACGAGGAACAAUUGGAGGGCAAGUCUGGUGCCAGCAGCCGCGGUAAUUCCAGCUCCAAUAGCGUAUAUUAAAGUUGUUGCGGUUAAAAAGCUCGUAGUUGGAUCUCGGCAGGUUGGGGGCGGUUCAUUGUUUAAUGCUACUGUCCCAUUAACCUGUGUUUUUGACGGAGGUUACAGGGUGCUCUUAAUUGAGUGUCCUGUGGUGCCGUCAGGUUUACUUUGAAAAAAUUAGAGUGCUCAAAGCAGGCUUUACACGCUUGAAUAUUCGUGCAUGGAAUAAUGGAAUAGGAAGUCGUUUCUAUUUUGUUGGUUUUAAGAAUCGACUUAAUGAUUAAUAGGGACAGUCGGGGGCAUUAGUAUUCAGAUGACAGAGGUGAAAUUCUUGGACCAUCUGAAGACUAACUACUGCGAAAGCAUUUGCCAAGAAUGUUUUCAUUAAUCAAGAACGAAAGUUAGAGGUUCGAAGGCGAUCAGAUACCGCCCUAGUUCUAACCAUAAACGAUGCCAGCUAGCGAUCCGCAGACGUUUUUUAUGUAGGCUCUGCGGGAAGCUUCCGGGAAACCAAAGCUUGUGGGUUCCGGGGGAAGUAUGGUUGCAAAGCUGAAACUUAAAGGAAUUGACGGAAGGGCACCACCAGGAGUGGAGCCUGCGGCUUAAUUUGACUCAACACGGGAAAUCUCACCAGGCCCGGACACUGGAAGGAUUGACAGAUUGAGAGCUCUUUCUCGAUUCGGUGGGUGGUGGUGCAUGGCCGUUCUUAGUUGGUGGAGUGAUUUGUCUGGUUAAUUCCGAUAACGAACGAGACUCUGUCCUGCUAAAUAGUUUCAACGUCACUUGCGUUGGAAAUUCUUCUUAGAGGGACUGGUGGCGUCUAGCCACACGAGAUUGAGCAAUAACAGGUCUGUGAUGCCCUUAGAUGUUCUGGGCCGCACGUGCGCUACACUGAAGGGAUCAACGUGUUUUCCCUUCCCGAGAGGGACGGGUAACCCGCUGAACCCCCUUCGUGGUAGGGAUUGGGGCUUGCAAUUAUUCCCCAUGAACCAGGAAUUCCCAGUAAGCGCAAGUCAUAAGCUUGCGUUGAUUACGUCCCUGCCCUUUGUACACACCGCCCGUCGCUACUACCGAUUGAACGUUUUAGUGAGGUAUUUGGAUUGUGUUGUCCGAGAAGACUCCCAAACUUGAGCGUUUAGAGGAAGUAA